UAUGAGUGCCUUACAUGGAUC
RNAcentral lists this non-coding RNA (21 nucleotides) under Caenorhabditis elegans. The record is from RNAcentral. Lineage: Eukaryota; Metazoa; Nematoda; Chromadorea; Rhabditida; Rhabditidae.